RNAcentral lists this ribosomal RNA (496 nucleotides) under Diaporthe sp. Eho017. RNAcentral's name for it is "eukaryotic LSU rRNA". The stretch from base 178 to 331 matches the Rfam family "5.8S ribosomal RNA". Lineage: Eukaryota; Fungi; Ascomycota; Sordariomycetes; Diaporthales; Diaporthaceae. The record is from RNAcentral.
CUGGAACGCGCCCCAGGCGCACCCAGAAACCCUUUGUGAACUUAUACCUUACUGUUGCCUCGGCGCUAGCUGGUCCUCCGGGGCCCCUCACCCUCGGGUGUUGAGACAGCCCGCCGGCGGCCAACCCAACUCUUGUUUUUACACUGAAACUCUGAGAAUAAAACAUAAAUGAAUCAAAACUUUCAACAACGGAUCUCUUGGUUCUGGCAUCGAUGAAGAACGCAGCGAAAUGCGAUAAGUAAUGUGAAUUGCAGAAUUCAGUGAAUCAUCGAAUCUUUGAACGCACAUUGCGCCCUCUGGUAUUCCGGAGGGCAUGCCUGUUCGAGCGUCAUUUCAACCCUCAAGCCUGGCUUGGUGAUGGGGCACUGCUUCUUACCCAAGAAGCAGGCCCUGAAAUUCAGUGGCGAGCUCGCCAGGACCCCGAGCGCAGUAGUUAAACCCUCGCUCUGGAAGGCCCUGGCGGUGCCCUGCCGUUAAACCCCCAACUUCUGAAAAU